RNAcentral lists this transfer RNA (59 nucleotides) under Versteria mustelae. RNAcentral describes it as "tRNA-Cys". The record is from RNAcentral. Lineage: Eukaryota; Metazoa; Platyhelminthes; Cestoda; Cyclophyllidea; Taeniidae.
GAGUAUGAUUAUAUUAGCUUUGCAAAAGCUAGGUAGGAUUUUGAUUUGUCCCAUACUUU